GGGCACACAUAGAGGAAAGACCACCUGAGGACACAGGAGCUGGUGGGCGUCUGCAUGCUAGGGAGAGAGGCCUCAGGAGAAACCAACCCUGUGGACACCUUGAUGUCAGACCUCCAGCCUCCAGAACCAUGAGAGAGAAAUUUCCAUUGUUUACAAGCUCCCCGGUUGAUGUAUUUUGUAGGGCAGCUCUAGAAAAGUAACACAUUACCCAAAGACAGGUGUUGGCCCUCAUUUUUGCUUUUGGGAGAGUGAUUCUCACGAUUUAGGCAGACAGAGAAGUUUCCUUUUAAACCUAGUGCCUGGAACAGAAUUUUUUUAAACUUAGAAUUCCAUUGAUAAAAUUGAAGAUGAUUUGGUUGAAUUCAAAGUCGAGGCUGAAAAUAAUUAAAAUGGGAAAGCAUUAAAAAAAUGGUGAAGGCAAGAUUGAAAUUGUGGGAAAAGAUUAGCCCUGAGCUAACAUCUACUGCCAAUCCUCCUCCUCUUGCUGAGGAAGACCAGCCCUGAGCUCACAUCCGUGCCCAUCUACCUCCACUUCACAUGUGGGACACCUACCACAGCAUGGCCCGCCAAGCUGUGCCAUGUCCACACCCGGGAUCCGAACCAGUGAACCCUGGGCCACCGAAGCGGAACUGUGCGCACUUAACUGCUGCGCCACCAGGCCAGCCCCAGAAGAUUUCAUUUGAUCCUGCUUUUCUGGAGCAAUGCCACCAACUUCAUUUGUAAUGUGCUGCCUUUGUCUUUGGGUGGAAAAUGGUGGAAGAACAGAGGAGCAGGUGUCCUUUAUAUGCACAUAACCUCAUAAACUUCAAUUGAUUCGUUGCCACCUGUUAUCAAACGACACCUGCAUAACAGACUGCAGAUAACAAAAGAGGCAUUCAGGGGCAGACAACUACGGUUAUGCAAUUGAAAGUCAAGGUUGCAUCUUUGAGUCCACCUAGAUAGUUGUGGGCAUUUCCUUUUUUUUCCUCAAUAGUAAAUACAUUCAUAUGGUUCAUAAAUUUAAAAAUAUGAAAUGGUUUACAGUGAAAACUUUUUUGGGUCCCUUGACUGUGCAGUUUUCAUCUCCCAGCCCUUACCGGUCACUAAUUAGUUUGAUCAGUUUCAGGACUAUUCUUCCAGAAUUUCUUCAGGCAAAUACAAGUGUCUACGACCUCAUGUAUGUUUAAGCUGGGGAUCAUUUAAAGAACAACAUACCUAGUGGGAAUGAUCUUCUGCCGUUUUUCCUUUUUUGAUGGGGUGAUGACUGAGUUGGGAGAGAUCCCUGGACAUCUAGAAUGUCUAAAGAGGCAGCUGGUCACCAGCCACAGAGGAGGUCUAUGAGAAAUUGCUAAGGAAGCGAUGGAGGUCUGCCCUUUUUCUCUCAAUAUGCCUGAGGACUCUAGUUUAACUGACAGGAUUUCACAGCUUUGCCUUACACAAAUCAAUAUUAAUUUAUAGGUUACAUUUUAAAAGCCUUG
RNAcentral lists this long non-coding RNA (1457 nucleotides) under Equus asinus (donkey). RNAcentral's name for it is "lncRNA (ENSEASG00005030251.1)". The record is from RNAcentral. Lineage: Eukaryota; Metazoa; Chordata; Mammalia; Perissodactyla; Equidae.